AACCUGGUUGAUCCUGCCAGUAGUCAUAUGCUUGUCUCAAAGACUAAGCCAUGCAUGUCUAAGUAUAAAUGGUAUACAAUGAAACUGCGAAUGGCUCAUUAAAACAGUUAUAGUUUAUUUGGUAAUCGAAUUUACAUGGAUAACCGUGGUAAUUCUAGAGCUAAUACAUGCUGUAAGCCCGACUUCACGGAAGGGCCGUAUUUAUUAGAUAACAGACCAAUAUUCCUCGUGUCUAUUGUGGUGAAUCAUAGUAACUAAUCGGAUCGCAUGGGACUUUCCCGCGACAAACCAUUCAAGUUUCUGCCCCAUCAGCUUUCGAUGGUAGUGUAUUGGACUACCAUGGCUUUUACGGGUAACGGAGGAUUAGGGUUCGAUUCCGGAGAGGGAGCCUGAGAAACGGCUACCACAUCUAAGGGAGGCAGCAGGCGCGUAAAUUACCCAAUCCUAAUUCAGGGAGGUAGUGACAAGAGAUAACGGAUCGGGGCUCUGCCCUGGGACUGAAAUGAGAUGAAUUUACACCCCUUUUACGAGAAUCAAUUGGAGGGCAAGUCUGGUGCCAGCAGCCGCGGUAAUUCCAGCUCCAAUAGCGUAUAUUAAAGUUGUUGCAGUUAAAAAGCUCGUAGU
This 624-nucleotide ribosomal RNA is filed under the name uncultured marine eukaryote. Its description in RNAcentral is "SSU rRNA". It matches the Rfam family "Eukaryotic small subunit ribosomal RNA", at positions 1 to 634 of the family's 1831-position model. The record is from RNAcentral.